GGAGCGUCUCCAAGAGUCAACGACAAUACCUGUUCUGCCGAAGACCCUGAGAGAGCAGAGCCCAGGGCCUGCAGCAACCUCAGUGCAGGAAGAGCAGAAGAGAAGACACACCCACCCAGAAGAGAGGAUGGUGCAGAGCGCACAUGCCAGCCUGGCCCUGUCAGCAGUGCUGAAGGAAAAGAAGGAAAAGGAGAGGCAGCUGGGCACCCGUGGCCUGCCCCUCAGCUGGAGGAAAGGUCUGAGCCCAAGGGUACUGAAGAAGACUCCAGGGACCUGGAGCCUGGACAGGGACAGCCCAGUGCCACAGAGACCUCGCUGGAUCAACAGACUGAACCACCGACAUCUACCCUACUGGAGACAGAAGGGCCCCACCAGGCCCAGACCAAAGAUCCUGCGGACCCAGGCAGAAGGCUGCAAGGCUGGUGA
RNAcentral lists this long non-coding RNA (426 nucleotides) under Rattus norvegicus (Norway rat). RNAcentral describes it as "long non-coding RNA NONRATT020437". The record is from RNAcentral. Lineage: Eukaryota; Metazoa; Chordata; Mammalia; Rodentia; Muridae.